AGUUCAUGGUGUGGGCAUUUCUUUAGCAUUGUCUUGAACCACUCCCAUGCUCUCUAUAAGGAUUCUCCUUCAAAUUAUUUAAAAUUGGUGAUUUCUUGCCUCAACU
Non-coding RNA from Gossypium hirsutum (cotton), 106 nucleotides. Lineage: Eukaryota; Viridiplantae; Streptophyta; Magnoliopsida; Malvales; Malvaceae. The record is from Rfam.